AUGUCUCCUUCAUUUCUGGUGUCCCUUUCGAAGUGUAUCUUGGAUCCACAUAGCAAAGAUGGUAUUCCCUCCAAUCAUAUUGGAGUACUGGACACAUCUUUGAAAAGGCAAGUAAUGUAUCAACAGGCAGAAAAGUUCACUAAAAGAAGAAAAAGGACACUACACAUUACACAAAAUAACAUCCUGAAAGCCCCAAAAGUUAAAAGAUACUUUGUUUUGUGUCUGCACAGCCAGAUUCAUGGAACCAACGGAUUGAUCACUUGCCCGGCGAAAACCACGACGCCGCUGAGCUCCUCCUUGAUCAAGAACACGAACGGGUGGUCGGCCACGAAGUCCACAACCUGA
This 345-nucleotide ribosomal RNA is filed under the name Triticum aestivum (bread wheat). RNAcentral describes it as "partial small subunit ribosomal RNA". The record is from RNAcentral. Lineage: Eukaryota; Viridiplantae; Streptophyta; Magnoliopsida; Poales; Poaceae.